RNAcentral lists this ribosomal RNA (300 nucleotides) under uncultured Hydrogenobaculum sp. Its description in RNAcentral is "bacterial SSU rRNA". The stretch from base 52 to 300 matches the Rfam family "Bacterial small subunit ribosomal RNA", at positions 547 to 795 of the family's 1533-position model. Lineage: Bacteria; Pseudomonadati; Aquificota; Aquificia; Aquificales; Aquificaceae. The record is from RNAcentral.
GGGUAGUCGGGUGUAGGAGCCGGGGAGAAACGGAGGUGGGUGUCGUGAUGCGGAAGUAAUGGGCGUAAAGCGUGUGGAGGCGGCUUUGUAAGGUAGAGGUGAAAGCCAGGGGCUAAAACGCGGAACUGCCUUUGAGAAUGGUGAGCUAGAAGUUUGGAGAUGGGAGUGGAAUUCCGAGUGUAGAGGUGAAAUGCGUAGAUAUUCGGAAGAACACCAGUGGCGAAGGCGACUCACUGGACACUGAUUGACGCUGAGGUGCGAAAGCGUGGGGAGCAAACAGGAUUAGAUACCCGAGUAGUC